UGAACAAAAGCAGCACGUUAGUAACCU
Molecule: non-coding RNA, 27 nt
Filed under: Homo sapiens (human)
Lineage: Eukaryota; Metazoa; Chordata; Mammalia; Primates; Hominidae
Source: RNAcentral